GGACGAACGCUGGCGGCGUGCUUCAUACAUGCAAGUCGAACGAGAAAUACCUUCGGGUAAUGGAAAGUGGCGGACGGGUGAGUAAAAUGUAGAGAAUCUGCCCUAGAGAGAGGGACAACAGAGGGAAACUUCUGCUAAUACCUCAUAUGCGCGUAGCUGAGAUGCUAUUCGUGAAAACUCCGGUGCUCUAGGAUGAGUCUGCAUCUGAUUAGCUAGUUGGGGGUGUAAUGGACCACCAAGGCGACGAUCAGUAGCUGGUUUGAGAGGAUGAUCAGCCACAAUGGGACUGAGACACGGCCCAUACUCCUACGGGAGGCAGCAGUAGGGAAUUUUGCGCAAUGGGCGAAAGCCUGACGCCAGCAACGCCGCGUGAUUGAAGAAGCCCUUCGGGGUGUAAAGAUCUGUCAGUGGGGACGAAGAAUGACGGUACCCACAGAGGAAGCAUCGGCUAACUCCGUGCCAGCCGCGGC
RNAcentral lists this ribosomal RNA (470 nucleotides) under uncultured bacterium. Its description in RNAcentral is "bacterial SSU rRNA". It matches the Rfam family "Bacterial small subunit ribosomal RNA", at positions 27 to 518 of the family's 1533-position model. The record is from RNAcentral.